RNAcentral lists this ribosomal RNA (493 nucleotides) under uncultured bacterium. RNAcentral describes it as "partial 16S ribosomal RNA". It matches the Rfam family "Bacterial small subunit ribosomal RNA", at positions 29 to 507 of the family's 1533-position model. The record is from RNAcentral.
ACGAACGCUUGCGGCGUGCUUAACACAUGCAAGUCGAACGGUGAAGCGCCUUCCUUUUUGGUGGGUGUGGAUGAGUGGCGCACGGGUGAGUAACACGUGAGUAACCUUCCCCCUUCUUCUGGAUAACCGCAUGAAAGUGUGGCUAAUACGGGAUAUUCUGGUUCUGUCGCAUGAUGGGUCUGGGAAAGAUAUUGUUUCGGUGGGGGGUGGGCUCGCGGCCUAUCAGCUUGGUGGGGGGGUGAUGGCCUACCAAGGCGGUGACGGGUAGCCGGCCUGAGAGGGUGGACGGUAACACAGGGACUGAGACGCGGCCCAGACUCCUAGGGGAGGCAGCAGUGGGGAAUAUUGCACAAUGGGCGGAAGCCUGAUGCAGCGACGCCGCGUGAGGGAUGGAGGCCUUCGGGUUGUGAACCUCUUUCGCCAGUGAAGCAGGCCUGCCUAGUUUGUGGGUGGGUUGACGGUAGCUGGAUAAGAAGCGCCGGCUAACUACGUG